AGUUAACGCCAGUCUUCUCUUGUAUAUAUUGAUCGCCUAUAUAUAUUUGUACGAGCCAUGUGUAAUUCCUGAAUGUGGCCUGAUUAGCGAGCACAAUUUCUCCAUAAAACAACAAUUUAAACGUUGGCGUAUUGGCUGGGACAUAUUUCCCCCCUUAUCAACAGGUAGUCUUAGAAUGGAAUUAUAUGUUACCUGAAGUUCGUAUAGAUACAUUAACCUACAACGAUGCAAACGGAGACACCAAAUACGGCCUUUAAUCAAGGUACGACAGAAUGUCCAGAAACUGAAGACGUAGAACGCACAGACAAUGUACCAGUGUUGUCGUGGGAGAACGGUGUAUGGGAUGGAAGGAAUACGAGUGUUAAAAAGGCGCCAUUUUAUCCCAAAAGUCGUUUUUUCUCUAAACGAACUUUAUCACGAUGUAGUCAUGGUUCUACGUUAUUAUUAGGUAUUAUACUAACCUGUGUUGCUCUAGGCUUAAUUGUAGCGGGGUCACUGAGGUUACACGAAUGUCGGCAGAUAACUACAUUUACUAUUCAACAUCCGGUGCAUGAAGGUAUCCAGAAAGAAAUCGGUGAUGAAUUUUUUACUGUUGAUCAGUUGGUGAAACUGAAUAAUUACGCCUUUAAUAAACCUGCCAAACAAUCGUCCACGGACAGAACGAGUGAUUUCCUACCGGAAGUAGAUGGUGAUGCUAGUCUCGCAGUCGACGGAAGUUUAGACACUUGUUCAAGAACUGGUAAGAAUUGAUUAU
Molecule: long non-coding RNA, 754 nt
Organism: Patella vulgata (common limpet)
Lineage: Eukaryota; Metazoa; Mollusca; Gastropoda; Patellidae
Exons: 4
Source: RefSeq, a predicted model, not a curated record